UUGUGAGCCGAGUUUGCACUGAGAGCGCGAUAAACAGGCCUAUUGUCAGAGCUAGGACCAGAGCCCAGGUAACUUAGGUCUCUUCACAAUUAAAGUUGAUUCAGGCCGAAUGCGGUGACUCACGCCUGUAAUCCAAACAUUUUGGAAGUCCGAGGUGAGCGGAUCACCUGAAGUCAGGAGUUCGAGACCAGUCUGGUCAACAUGGUGAAACCCCACCUCUACUAAAAAUACAAAAAGUAGCCAGGUGUGGUGGCUCCUGCCUGCAAUCCCAACUACUUGGGAGGCUGAAGCAGGAGAAUCGCUUGAACCUGGGAGGCAAAGGUAGCAGUGAGCUGAGAUCGGGCCACUGCACUCCAGCCUGGGCGACAAAGCGAGACUCCCUCUCAAAAAAAGUAAUAAGGCCGGGCGCGGUGGCUCACGCCUGUAAUCCCAACACUUUGGGAGGCCGAGGCGGGAGGAUCACGAGGUCAAAAGAUCGAGACCAUCUUGGCCAACAUGGUGAAACCCUGUGUCUACUAAAAAUACAAAACUUAGCUGGGCUUGGUGGCGCGUGCCUGUAGUCCCAGCUACUUGGGAGGGUGAGGCAGGAGAAUCACUUGAACCCAGGAGGUGGAGGUUGCAGUGAGCAGAGAUCACGUCACUGCACUCCAGCCUGGUGACAGAGCGAGACUCUGUCUCAAAAAAUAGUAUAAUUACUAUUAU
This 702-nucleotide long non-coding RNA is filed under the name Homo sapiens (human). RNAcentral describes it as "HSALNT0140840". The record is from RNAcentral. Lineage: Eukaryota; Metazoa; Chordata; Mammalia; Primates; Hominidae.